RNAcentral lists this ribosomal RNA (249 nucleotides) under uncultured bacterium. RNAcentral describes it as "partial 16S ribosomal RNA". It matches the Rfam family "Bacterial small subunit ribosomal RNA", at positions 796 to 1041 of the family's 1533-position model. The record is from RNAcentral.
CACGCUGUAAACGAUGUCUACUAGAUCCGUGUUCUCCUUUUGGGGGAUGCGAGUCGCAGCUAACGCAUUAAGUAGACCGCCUGGGAAUUACGGCCGCAAGGCUAAAACUCAAAGGAAUUGACGGGGACCCGCACAAGCGGUGGAGCACCUGCUUUAAUUCGAUGAUAACCGAAGAACCUUACCAAGGUUUGACAUGCUACUGCAAAUCCCGUGAAAACGGGACGUCCUUCGAGGGUGUAGCACAGGUAU